GGCUCAGUGGAGGAGCCUCUGCCAUGCAAGCAGGAAGCCACAGGUUCAAUCCCUGCCAUCUCCA
Podarcis lilfordi (Lilford's wall lizard) is the source of this 64-nucleotide non-coding RNA. Lineage: Eukaryota; Metazoa; Chordata; Lepidosauria; Squamata; Lacertidae. The record is from the annotation of a GenBank genome assembly.